Molecule: ribosomal RNA, 799 nt
Filed under: uncultured bacterium
Lineage: Bacteria
Description: bacterial SSU rRNA
Rfam family: Bacterial small subunit ribosomal RNA
Source: RNAcentral
AGAGUUUGAUCAUGGCUCAGAACGAACGCUGGCGGCGUGCUUAACACAUGCAAGUCGAACGCGAACGGGUUCUUCGGGACCUUAGUAGAGURGCGCACGGGUGAGUAACGCGUAAGUUAUCUACCUCGGCAUCUGGAAUAACUCACCGAAAGGUGUGCUAAUACCGGAUACGUUGAGUAAUCAAGAAAGGUGGCCUCUGAAUAUGCUACCGUGCUGAGAUGAGCUUGCGUACCAUUAGCUAGUUGGUGGGGUAAUGGCCUACCAAGGCGACGAUGGUUAGCGGGUCUGAGAGGAUGAUCCGCCACACUGGAACUGGARCACGGACCAGACUCCUACGGGAGGCAGCAGUGAGGAAUAUUGCGCAAUGGGGGGCAACCCUGACGCAGCGACGCCGCGUGGAUGAUGAAGGCCUUCGGGUCGUAAAAUCCUGUCAGGUGGAAAGAAAUGUMUAUGUGCUAAUACCAUGUAKAYUUGACGGUACCACCGAAGGAAGCACCGGCUAACUCCGUGCCAGCAGCCGCGGUAAUACGGAGGGUGCAAGCGUUGUUCGGAAUUACUGGGCGUAAAGCGCGCGCAGGCGGUUUGYUAAGUCAGAUGUGAAAGCCCAUGGCUCAACCAUGGACGUGCAUUUGAAACUGGCAAGCUUGAGUAGUGGAGGGGGUGGUGGAAUUCCCGGUGUAGAGGUGAAAUUCGUAGAUAUCGGGAGGAAUACCGGUGGCGAAGGCGACCACCUGGCCACAUACUGACGCUGAGGCGCGAAAGCGUGGGGAGCAAACAGGAUUAGAUACCCUGGUAGUCC